This 1596-nucleotide long non-coding RNA is filed under the name Lactuca sativa (garden lettuce). RNAcentral describes it as "long non-coding RNA (LSAT_LNC006218)". The record is from RNAcentral. Lineage: Eukaryota; Viridiplantae; Streptophyta; Magnoliopsida; Asterales; Asteraceae.
GCUGUGAGACAAUUGAAAAUUGGAGUCUUGAGCUGGUGGAAGCUAUUGGGAGAUACAAUGUCGUGAGGAGAAGCUCUGAAAAUGUCAUGGGAUGAGUUCUUGGAACAACUGAAGACGCAGUACUGUUCAGAGAUAGAUUUGAUUGAUCUGAACAAUGAGUUCCAAAAUUUGAAAAAGGGGAGAAUGAGCAUCGAUGACUAUGCUGUUGCAUUUACGGAAACUAUGAAGUUGUUUCCAUACCUACUGCCAACCGAACUUUCCAAAAUUGAGAAGUUCGCAAACGAACUGCCGGCUGACUUUGGCCCAACAGUCAAGAUGAUCUUUAUGAUAAUAUUGUUUUGGGACAAAUUCCACAAUUCAUUUAUUAAAAGAUUACUCUGAUUUUGAAAUAAAGCAUAAACAAAACCGGUCUUUUCUGGCCGUGAUUUUGGGGAUGUCACAGUUGGUAUCAGAGCAUUAGUUUAAGCGAACUAGGAAUUUGUAGGAUUUCUAGACUUAAACUUAGAAUGCUAAGCGAUGAUUGUGAGGUGUGAGCACUAGCUUAUUUUAGGAAUUGUACCUAAAAUGCUUUUUUGUGAUAAACGCUUUGUGCAUCAUAUGCUGUUAUUUGUUCGGAUCUAUGGUCUGUUGCCGACCGGAUCUGGAAACCUUAUGUGUUUAGGAUUCUAAACGUACGACUACGAUAUUUGAACUAGCAUGUAAACGUUUCGGAGUGAUAAGGACGAUUUAAACGUCUAUCUAAAUAAAGAUCUAAAUUCACCUUAUUCGGUGUAUGGAUCAAGAUGGCAAGGACCCGUAGCGGAAACGUGAAUGAAAAUGGAGAUAGGAACCAACCCCCAGUGGUUCAGCAAAUACCUGUUGUUGAAGAAGUUGCGCCUGAGCCAGUCACCAUGGCUGGAGUUCAAGCCAUGAUUCAGGCUAUGCUAGCUGAACAAAGGGAAGAAAUGAGACGGAUGCUCCACGAAAAUAGGGACGAACCUACCAUACAUGUUGAACCGACGGAGCCAGUUCCCGAGCCAUCUGAGGAAGGGAACUAUAGCCGCCAAGUGAGUCAAGUAGGGACUCAAGGUGAGCAAAAGGAUGGCCCAGAAGGGAGAAACAACAAGGAUGGGCGGAUGUACAAAAAUUUCUUGGGUGCGAAACCACCAAGUCUCUCAGGAAGCCCAAAGCCUGUUGAGAUUAUGGACUGGAUCUCCGAGAUGGAGAUGGUGUUUGAGAGCUGCGACUGCAGCGAGAAGCAGAAGACUGUCUUCGCUGUGAGACAAUUGAAAACUGGAGUCUUGAGCUGGUGGAAGCUAUUGGCAGAUACAAUGCCACGGGGAGAAGCUCUGAAAAUGUCAUGGGAUGAGUUCUUGGAACAACUGAAGGCGCAGUACUGUUCAGAGAUAGACCUGAUUGAUCUGAACAAUGAGUUCCAAAAUUUGAAGAAGGGGAGAAUGAGCAUCGAUGACUAUGCUGCUGCAUUUACGGAAAAGAUGAAGUUGUUUCCAUACCUAGUGCCAACCGAACUUUCCAAAAUUGAGAAAUUCGCAAACGGACUGCCGGCUGACUUUGGCCCAACAGUCAAGAUGGCAACCACUCUGAAAUCAGCUGUUC